Molecule: non-coding RNA, 1473 nt
Organism: Thamnophis sirtalis
Lineage: Eukaryota; Metazoa; Chordata; Lepidosauria; Squamata; Natricidae
Source: RefSeq, a predicted model, not a curated record
CCAGGAAAGUCCCACUGAGAUGGAUCUUUCAGACUCUCUGGUCAAAGCUCUUAAGAAACACAGGUUGCUUCAGAAGUGUGUGGCGUUCGCGGGGGACAACUGCAACACCAUGUUUGGUGACGUUGGGCAAGAGGAGGAGGCGAGGGUCGUGUUCACCAGGCUGAAGAAAUCCCUCCAGAGAGAGACGUUGAUCGGGGUGCACUGCCCUGCCCACGUUUUGCACAACUGCAUCCACCACGGAGCAGACGCCCUCGAGGUGGACGUUGAGAACAUCAUCCUCAAGAUCUACCAGUACUUCCACAUCUACGCGGUGCGGACGGAGCCCCUGCAAGAAUACUGUGACUUUGUGGAGGUGGAAUACAAGCGGCUGCUCUCCCACGUCAGGACCCGCUGGCUCUCCUUGUUCCCAGGCAUCACGAAGCUGCUCCAGAUGCAUUCGGCCCUGAAGUCCUUCUUCUUGAGCCAGAGCAACCCGCCCGCCGUGCUCAAGAGCUUCUUUGAGCACGAGUUCGGGGAGCUCUACCUUUGGCACAUGCACUCGCUGAUGAACGCCUUCCAUUUGCACAUCGAGGAGAUGGAGCGGGAAAAUAACUCCCUGGUGGAGGUGAUGAAGACGCUGGACUCCGUGCACACCAUCCUGCUUGACCGUCGAGCCCAGAACUUCAUGUCCCUGACGGUGAAGGGGAUGCUUGCCGACAAGCGCAAGGAGGGCCUGGAGGCCGGAUGUGAUGCCUUCUCCGAGGCCGUGCGUCGCCUCUACAGUCACUGCAUCGACUACCUGGAGAUGUGGAUGGCGUCACUGCAAGAGUUUUCCUGCUUCGCCUGGAUGGCCCUGAGUGACACACCCAGCUGGAGUGACGUGGAAGCGUGUAUCACGUAUUUGAUUGAGAAAGGCGUCGAGAUUGAUGACAUCAGGUGUUUUGAUCAGUUCAACAACCUGAAAAAAUUUGUGGAAGCUUCCAGCGAUGAAGAGGAGUUCCAGCAUCUGCUUUCACAUCAAAAGUGGACCAAAUACUUCCUGAAGGCCAAAGCCAUCGAAUGGUAAUGGAUGGAUUCAUACAAUAUCCUAACUUCGAAAUCCAGGUGGCUGGAAAUGCAGCGCUGCUUCUGUUCCCAGAACAUGUCAUGUCCCAGGAUAGGUUCCUCCUCGUUUGGAACCGUGUGAUCCCACGAUAACUGCUGGAACCUCAGGCCCAGCAGGACAUACUACAGAAAAAGGCAGAAACGUUUUAUCCGGGAGGCGAAACGAGAGAAGGGCCUUUCAUCAACUUUGUCCCAUCUAGGAUCUGAGCCUUGGUAGCCAUCCAUAUGUAAAAGAAAACCCUUCCAGGUAGUCCUCGACCUACGACCACUAUUGAGCCCAGAAUUUCAGUUCUUGAGCGAGACAUUUGUUUAGUGGUUGCCCUCUCCCCUCUUUGGAAGAGCUUUAUUGUUCCCGCUCCUUAAGAAAGUUCAAAACAUCCUUAAAAAUCC